AUACUUUAGGACUAGCAGCACAUGUACUAAAAUUGGAAUACUAAGUGAAGAUUAGCAUGGCCCCUGCGCAAGGAUGGCACACAAA
Molecule: small nuclear RNA, 85 nt
Filed under: Myotis lucifugus (little brown bat)
Lineage: Eukaryota; Metazoa; Chordata; Mammalia; Chiroptera; Vespertilionidae
Source: RNAcentral